UCCGGCUUAUCACCGGCAGUCCCUCUAGAGUGCCCAACUAAAUGAUGGCAACUAGAGGCAAGGGUUGCGCUCGUUGCGGGACUUAACCCAACAUCUCACGACACGAGCUGACGACAGCCAUGCAGCACCUGUCACCGGUCCAGCCGAACUGAAAGCUUCUCUUUCAAGAAGCCGCGACCGGGAUGUCAAGGCCUGGUAAGGUUCUUCGCGUUGCUUCGAAUUAAACCACAUACUCCACCGCUUGUGCGGGCCCCCGUCAAUUCCUUUGAGUUUCAACCUUGCGGUCGUACUCCCCAGGCGGGGUACUUCCUGCGUUAGCGCCGGCACCCAGAGGGUCGCUCCCCCAGGCACCUAGUACCCAUCGUUUACGGCGUGGACUAC
This 381-nucleotide unclassified non-coding RNA is filed under the name uncultured bacterium. RNAcentral describes it as "contains 16S-23S intergenic spacer region". The record is from RNAcentral.